CGAAUGCUGACAUAAGUAACGAUAAAGCGGGUGAAAAGCCCGCUCGCCGGAAGACCAAGGGUUCCUGUCCAACGUUAAUCGGGGCAGGGUGAGUCGACCCCUAAGGCGAGGCCGAAAGGCGUAGUCGAUGGGAAACAGGUUAAUAUUCCUGUACUUGGUGUUACUGCGAAGGGGGGACGGAGAAGGCUAUGUUGGCCGGGCGACGGUUGUCCCGGUUUAAGCGUGUAGGCUGGUUUUCCAGGCAAAUCCGGAAAAUCAAGGCUGAGGCGUGAUGACGAGGCACUACGGUGCUGAAGCAACAAAUGCCCUGCUUCCAGGAAAAGCCUCUAAGCAUCAGGUAACAUCAAAUCGUACCCCAAACCGACACAGGUGGUCAGGUAGAGAAUACCAAGGCGCUUGAGAGAACUCGGGUGAAGGAACUAGGCAAAAUGGUGCCGUAACUUCGGGAGAAGGCACGCUGAUAUGUAGGUGAAGUCCCUUGCGGAUGGAGCUGAAAUCAGUCGAAGAUACCAGCUGGCUGCAACUGUUUAUUAAAAACACAGCACUGUGCAAACACGAAAGUGGACGUAUACGGUGUGACGCCUGCCCGGUGCCGGAAGGUUAAUUGAUGGGGUCAGCGCAAGCGAAGCUCUUGAUCGAAGCCCCGGUAAACGGCGGCCGUAACUAUAACGGUCCUAAGGUAGCGAAAUUCCUUGUCGGGUAAGUUCCGACCUGCACGAAUGGCGUAAUGAUGGCCAGGCUGUCUCCACCCGAGACUCAGUGAAAUUGAACUCGCUGUGAAGAUGCAGUGUACCCGCGGCAAGACGGAAAGACCCCGUGAACCUUUACUAUAGCUUGACACUGAACAUUGAGCCUUGAUGUGUAGGAUAGGUGGGAGGCUUUGAAGUGUGGACGCCAGUCUGCAUGGAGCCGACCUUGAAAUACCACCCUUUAAUGUUUGAUGUUCUAACGUGGACCCGUGAUCCGGGUUGCGGACAGUGUCUGGUGGGUAGUUUGACUGGGGCGGUCUCCUCCUAAAGAGUAACGGAGGAGCACGAAGGUUGGCUAAUCCUGGUCGGACAUCAGGAGGUUAGUGCAAUGGCAUAAGCCAGCUUGACUGCGAGCGUGACGGCGCGAGCAGGUGCGAAAGCAGGUCAUAGUGAUCCGGUGGUUCUGAAUGGAAGGGCCAUCGCUCAACGGAUAAAAGGUACUCCGGGGAUAACAGGCUGAUACCGCCCAAGAGUUCAUAUCGACGGCGGUGUUUGGCACCUCGAUGUCGGCUCAUCACAUCCUGGGGCUGAAGUAGGUCCCAAGGGUAUGGCUGUUCGCCAUUUAAAGUGGUACGCGAGCUGGGUUUAGAACGUCGUGAGACAGUUCGGUCCCUAUCUGCCGUGGGCGCUGGAGAACUGAGGGGGGCUGCUCCUAGUACGAGAGGACCGGAGUGGACGCAUCACUGGUGUUCGGGUUGUCAUGCCAAUGGCACUGCCCGGUAGCUAAAUGCGGAAGAGAUAAGUGCUGAAAGCAUCUAAGCACGAAACUUGCC
Molecule: ribosomal RNA, 1522 nt
Filed under: Escherichia coli
Lineage: Bacteria; Pseudomonadati; Pseudomonadota; Gammaproteobacteria; Enterobacterales; Enterobacteriaceae
Description: partial 23S ribosomal RNA
Rfam family: Bacterial large subunit ribosomal RNA
Source: RNAcentral